GUCAGCAGCCGCGGUAAUACGGAGGAUGCAAGCGUUAUCCGGAAUUAUUGGGCGUAAAGCGUCCGUAGGUGGUUAAUCAAGUCAGUUGUUAAAGCGUGGGGCUUAACCCCAUAAAGGCGAUUGAAACUGAUUGACUAGAGUUUCGUAGGGGUCAGGGGAAUUCCCAGUGUAGCGGUGAAAUGCGUUGAUAUUGGGAAGAACCCCGGUGGCGAAAGCSCCUGACUGGGCCUGAACUGACMCUGAGGGACGAAAGCUAGGGGAGCGAAAGGGAUUAGAUWCCCCUGUAGUCCUAGCUGUWAACGAUGGAGWCUAGGUGUUKCCCGUAUCGMCCCGGGCAGUKCCGUAGCUAACGCGUUAAGUWUCCCGCCUGGGGAGUACGCUCGCAAGAGUGAAACUUAAAUAAAUUGACGGCUGUCUCUUAUAC
Molecule: ribosomal RNA, 424 nt
Filed under: Leptolyngbya sp. ECCN 20BG
Lineage: Bacteria; Bacillati; Cyanobacteriota; Cyanophyceae; Leptolyngbyales; Leptolyngbyaceae
Description: partial 16S ribosomal RNA
Source: RNAcentral